Molecule: ribosomal RNA, 590 nt
Filed under: uncultured bacterium
Lineage: Bacteria
Description: bacterial SSU rRNA
Rfam family: Bacterial small subunit ribosomal RNA
Source: RNAcentral
CAGGGACCAGACUCCUACGGGAGGCAGCAGUGAGGAAUAUUGGUCAAUGGUCGGAAGACUGAACCAGCCAUGUCGCGUGCAGGAAGAAUGCCUUAUGGGUUGUAAACUGCUUUUAUAUGGGAAGAAUAAGGCGUACGUGUACGUUGAUGACGGUACCAUAUGAAUAAGCAUCGGCUAACUCCGUGCCAGCAGCCGCGGUAAUACGGAGGAUGCGAGCGUUAUUCGGAAUCAUUGGGUUUAAAGGGUCUGUAGGCGGGCUAUUAAGUCAGGGGUGAAAGGUUUCAGCUUAACUGAGAAAUUGCCUUUGAUACUGGUAGUCUUGAAUAUCUGUGAAGUUCUUGGAAUGUGUAGUGUAGCGGUGAAAUGCUUAGAUAUUACACAGAACACCGAUUGCGAAGGCAGGGGACUAACAGACAAUUGACGCUGAGAGACGAAAGCGUGGGGAGCGAACAGGAUUAGAUACCCUGGUAGUCCACGCUGUAAACGAUGGAUACUAGCUGUUUGGCGCAAGCUGAGUGGCUAAGCGAAAGUGAUAAGUAUCCCACCUGGGGAGUACGCACGCAAGUGUGAAACUCAAAGGAAUUGACGGA